RNAcentral lists this long non-coding RNA (212 nucleotides) under Gallus gallus (chicken). Lineage: Eukaryota; Metazoa; Chordata; Aves; Galliformes; Phasianidae. The record is from RNAcentral.
CCAAUACAUUUACACAGUUACUCCUUGUGCUGAUAAUUGAUAAAGAUUUAAGUGCAUUUGUUAGCCAGGAGUCUGUCAGAGCUUCAAUCUCUGCUCUUAAUUGCAACCAUGCAUCUCUUUUUGCAGGACCUAGGAGUCCUCCUAUGUUGUUCUUGUAAGUAUUAUACAACUCUUUUACUCUUCUGUAACGGAAAGCCAGCUUCCUCAUCCAG